CUCUACAAACGAAUCACCGGCAGCAUUUGCUAGGCUUUAACAUUGGGCAACGUCGAUUUUUCGAAACUGUCCGCACUGUCCAAAUAUUUGUUCGUUAACUUUAAUCCUCGAGCAUCUAUUGACUGUACUAAGUCAACACUUGUGCCGUCAGCAACGUGUUGCACUAUCGGAGACUCUAUCGGAGACAGAGACGCUCUUCCGUAAAUACGUAACCUGCGUCAUCAAUGGCCCACGAUCGUCUUACGCCAUCGGUUAUCGUACUGGCUUAUCCAGAUACGUGAAAAUGGAUUCCGGGCAGAACUCGUCGGGCCCGGUCCAAACCGGGUUAGAAUCGCCGGACAAAUGUAAUCAGACCGGCAAUUACCGGAUGGACGAUAUUUCAGAUAGAGCAACUUGUUCCUCGAAGCGGGAUCGAAUCACGGUCCACCUCUGCUAGUUUAUAAACUCUCUAUAAUCGGCAACUGAGCGCAGCUGCGAAGAAAAUCGUGCAACAAAAGAUCACAGUCGCGCGCCCACGUGGGCGAGACACCUAAUUCUUAACCAAGUUUCGAAACUACGCUAAGACUUCGCUAAGAUUUAUCGAAACACGUCACCGCGAUCUUUCGGAUGCGAAACUUUCAGCUUCGUAGCUUUCGAUCACUAAUUAAUCGAAUCGUGGCAAUUUUUCAGAGUCGACGAACGACGCUCGCCGCGUUCAAGAAUGCAUAGAAGCGGUUGCUCCCGAGAUUUCGCGAAGCUGCACCCCGAGCAUCCCCCGAGAGGCCGGUCUGCGGUCGAAUCUCCGAUCUCGGUUGCAUUCACCGCGUCCACCACGAGGAAUCGUCGCCGACGGAAGCCCGAGGGAUUUUCCAAGAAAACCACGCGGUCCCACGAUCCGUCGUUAUCUACGCGGCGCAUCGGAAUCUUCGAGACAGCCCUGUCGGGCCAGCCGGUAUUGAUAUUCCCCUCGUGUUCCCAACCGAUCGGAGGCUGAAAAGUGGAACAAUCGAUUCCAAGUAAACAUCAGCGACAAGCUGGCCGCGGGAUCGACACCACACGAAGAGAGGAAGAAGAUUGGUGGGCAGCGUUGUUUACCGCGGCGCAUCGCGAGGCCGGAGAAGAGAGGAUCGUCGUCGCCCACGGGCAUUUGUUAGUUCGACGACAGAUAAAACGCACAAAAUCGCGCCACGAAGCAGACUGGACCAGACAACUCGCCGCGUCGAGACGAAGAAAAGCGAGCCACGGGUCCACGGAUUCCAGAACGAAACCGUAGCCGACCGACGUUGGGUACCAACACAAAGACGAGGUUUGAAAGCGACCAACAAAAAUUGCCUCGCAAGAAUUACAAGAUUAUAUAAUCUUAUAAUUUUAUAUGAUCAUAGUCUUUAAUUUUAAUAAUUUUAUACAAU
Long non-coding RNA from Megalopta genalis, 1388 nucleotides. RefSeq lists it as uncharacterized. NCBI's taxonomy places the organism in Eukaryota, Metazoa, Arthropoda, Insecta, Hymenoptera, Halictidae. The record is from RefSeq and is a predicted model, not a curated record.